Molecule: transfer RNA, 69 nt
Filed under: Pomatoschistus minutus (sand goby)
Lineage: Eukaryota; Metazoa; Chordata; Actinopteri; Gobiiformes; Gobiidae
Description: tRNA-Asp
Rfam family: tRNA
About the family: Transfer RNA (tRNA) molecules are approximately 80 nucleotides in length. Their secondary structure includes four short double-helical elements and three loops (D, anti-codon, and T loops).
Source: RNAcentral
AAGAUGCUAGUAUAACAAGUACCCUGCCUUGUCAAGGCAAAAUUGUGGGUUAGACCCCCACGUAUCUUA